RNAcentral lists this ribosomal RNA (407 nucleotides) under uncultured bacterium. RNAcentral's name for it is "partial 16S ribosomal RNA". It matches the Rfam family "Bacterial small subunit ribosomal RNA", at positions 360 to 774 of the family's 1533-position model. The record is from RNAcentral.
AAUAUUGCGCAAUGGAGGAAACUCUGACGCAGCGACGCCGCGUGAGCGGUGAAGGUCUUCGGAUCGUAAAGCUCUGUCCUUGGGGAAGAAGGUCUUCGGACUUGACUGUACCCAUGGAGGAAGCCCGGGCUAACUACGUGCCAGCAGCCGCGGUACUACGUAGGGGGCAAGCGUUGUCCGGAAUUAUCGGGCGUAAAGGGUGCGUAGGCGGCCUUUUAAGUAAGAUGUGAAAGCCCACGGCCCAACCGUGAGAUGGCAUUUGAAACUGGAGGGCUUGAGUAUCGGAGAGGGUAGAGGAAUUCCCGGUGUAGCGGUGAAAUGCGUAGAUAUUGGGAGGAACACCAGUGGCGAAGGCGACUACCUGGACGAUUACUGACGCUGAUGCACGAAAGCUAGGGGAGCAAACA